Molecule: long non-coding RNA, 942 nt
Organism: Passer montanus (Eurasian tree sparrow)
Lineage: Eukaryota; Metazoa; Chordata; Aves; Passeriformes; Passeridae
Exons: 3
Source: RefSeq, a predicted model, not a curated record
GGAGAGUGGCUCCUGGAAUGGUGGCUGAGAGCUAAAAACUGCAGCAGUCUUGCAGCAGACCUUGGAGCCUUGUAUUUCUCCAGCACCUGCAGAACAGCAUCAAAGAGAAAGGCAGAAAAACGAGGAAAGAAAAAAAAAAAACCUGAAAGAAUAUUAAACAGGAUUGUUAGGACUUGCCUGGGGCUUGGGGAACGCGAAAUAUCUUCCAGAAUGGAUCACUGUGAUAAUGAAACUUUAGAACCCGAUUAAAGUUCACAGCAGUGGGGAGAAGCAGCUCCAUCAGCUCACAGCUGUGGCUGAGCAUGGGAGGAAGGAGAGCUCUGCCUUAAAAUCCACCCAGGGAGAACACAAUUUCGGAACAUCUGGCACACUGGAGGAAUUUAAAGGGUCAGCUAGAGUGGGUUCUGUGAUCCCAUGGUUCUGUGGUUAUUCUGAUUCUCUGAUACCAGAAAGUGAUGAUGUAGAGGGAGAGGAGGAACUCAGACACAGGCGUGAAUGGAGACACUAUGACUUCUCCAGUGGAAACAUUGAUACUUCAUCUUGUCAUGAGCUCAGAAGACCUGGUUCUAUAUUUUGCCUCAGGUUUAUGCCACUGAAACUCUGCCACUGCCCAUUUGGCAUUAUCCUGAAUUUGCCUGUGUGUCCAAGCUAACCCAACAUGCGGCUGUUUACAUGGCAGUUUUGGGGAAUAUGUUCAUUAGAUUUAGUGAGAGUUAACAAUUUACUUCCAGUGAAUUGUGCCAACAGUUGGGUGUGGAGUUCCUCUUUAAGUGUCCUGCAUUUUCCUAAUUGCUUAUCAACUGAAGUAAUUUUAGCUUGCGGUUUUAUUUCACAGAGGUGAUUCACUUUGCACAUUUUUCUCAAAGAAUGGUCUCAUGGGUUAAACAAAGACUUUGUAGUCAAAUUUCCUUCUUUUUUAUGCCAUCUUAAUUUUCUCCAGGA